Molecule: long non-coding RNA, 109 nt
Organism: Sapajus apella (tufted capuchin)
Lineage: Eukaryota; Metazoa; Chordata; Mammalia; Primates; Cebidae
Exons: 3
Source: RefSeq, a predicted model, not a curated record
CUGCCUCCUGGAAGACACUGCCACCCCUAGUAGCUUCCAUUCCAUCAUGGACAGCACUGCUCACUCCUGACUCAACCCUUGCUUUGUUCAAAUACUAGAAAUAUUAGAU